CCAGUGUAGUCUUGUGUCUAAGCUGGUGUCUGGCCACCAAAGGCAGGCGUGCAGGGCCUUGGCUACUGCGCUAGGUCUGCUGAUGGCCACAAGCCUUUAGUCCCAGCUCUGCCUUAGCAAUGGGGGUGUCUGAAGGCUCAGGGGAUACACAGGUCCUCUAGGUUCCUGGGGAGAUGAUGACGGAGUCUUGCUGUGUUGCCAGGCUGGAGUGCAGUGGCGCGAUCUCGGCUCACUGCAACCUCUGCCUCCCACGUUCAAGCGAUUUUCCUGCCUCAGCCUCCCGAGCAGCUGGGAUUACAGGCACGCACCGCAAUGCCCAGAGUGAGAGUUUCGACCAGGAGUGGAUACUGAGGAGAGCAAAGAUCACCUGGUGCUCAUCAAGCCGGACUUCCAGAGGCAAAGCUCCUUAACUGAAGAAUUCAGAAGUCUUUGAGGAAUCACCACCAUGGAAUACUAUGCAGCCAUAAAAAAGAAAGAUAACAUGUCCUUCACAGGGACAUAGAUGGAGCUGGAGGCCAUUCUCCUUAGCAAACUAAACUAUGUAACAAACCUAUACUUGUACCCCAGAACUUAAAAUAAAAGUUUAAAAAAGCCCUUUCCUUUUCAAAUCUAUACUGUUGUUGGUAAAUUCUUCUUACUACCCAUGAGUAAAUCACUUUUUGUUGCCUGAGAUCUGACACCUCACCCAGCAGGCACCUACCAUUUUUACUCCCCAUUUACCUGUCUAAGCAGGAAUUGGUGACUUAACAAAUUUGGAGGAAGAUUUUAGCAGAAAGAGAAUUUGAUCAGAGCCUAGUGACUCUAACUAACAGACCUAUUAGUAGGCAGUCAAGGUUCUCCAGAGAAAUAGAAGCAGUAGGACAUGGGGCAGGGAAAAGGAGAGAGAGAGAGAGAAAGAAAAAGAGAGAGAAAGGUACCAAGGAAUUGGCUCAUGUGUUAGGGGCUGGCCAAGCAAAUCUGAAAUCUGCAGGGCAGGCUGUCAGAAAGGGCAGGCAAGAAACUCUAAGGGCCGAGAGCUGUGGUCCACAGGUAGAAUUUCUUCUUCUCCGGGAAACCUCUUUCUAGUGUGGCAGCAAAUAAUGACUAAAUGGAUUUUGUGGCUAAGGCAGCACAGAGAUAUAGAAAAAGUUCAACAGGUAUUAUUAAAAGGCAUUUAAUCUCUAGGCAACUCAGCUAGAUGAAAUGCAAUGAAAGAGUCGCUGCUUUUUUCAGGAGAGAUACAUGAGGCAUCUUUACCUAAUAAACACCAUUUGUUAUAUUGAAGCUUUAGGGCCGAAGCCAAUGAGUUGAAACUCUUAAAAACAAAAUCUUUUGAAAAUAAUUCUGCACAUUUAGGCGUGUUUUUUUUUUCUCUCCUUUGGGAUCUGAAGAAAAUUUCCUACUUACUCUGCCCAGCCCCCAACCUUUCUUUGGCUUUUGUGAUGGUUUAUUCUGUAAGAUCCACCCAUAGAAUGAGGACCACCUGUAAAGGUCAUCAAAGUUUGUUUAUUCAGAUCUUACCAAUAAGGGACUUACAACGCUUUUCAUUUUUGGCAGAGACUCCCAGGGGUUUUAAAAGAGUUUUAUAGAAUCAAAGGAGCCUUAAGUUUUAAGACAGUCCUUGACUGGGGA
This 1611-nucleotide long non-coding RNA is filed under the name Homo sapiens (human). RNAcentral describes it as "HSALNT0371462". Lineage: Eukaryota; Metazoa; Chordata; Mammalia; Primates; Hominidae. The record is from RNAcentral.